CAGCACCUCAAAUGGUCAGGAUGAUUAUUGGGCCUAAAGCAUCCGUAGCCGGCUCUGUAAGUUUUCGGUUAAAUCUGUAUGCUCAACAUACAGGCUGCCGGGAAUACUGCAGAGCUAGGGAGUGGGAGAGGUAGACGGUACUCGGUAGGAAGGGGUAAAAUCCUUUGAUCUAUUGAUGACCACCUGUGGCGAAGGCGGUCUACCAGAACACGUCCGACGGUGAGGGAUGAAAGCUGGGGGAGCAAACCGGAUUAGAUACCCGAGUAGUCC
Molecule: ribosomal RNA, 270 nt
Filed under: uncultured archaeon
Lineage: Archaea
Description: partial 16S ribosomal RNA
Rfam family: Archaeal small subunit ribosomal RNA
Source: RNAcentral